Vitis vinifera (wine grape) is the source of this 2857-nucleotide RNA transcript. It is a transcript of the gene named pentatricopeptide repeat-containing protein At4g21065, with no coding region annotated. The transcript has 2 exons. The record is from RefSeq and is a predicted model, not a curated record. NCBI's taxonomy places the organism in Eukaryota, Viridiplantae, Streptophyta, Magnoliopsida, Vitales, Vitaceae.
AUGUAUAAUUAGUAAGCAUUAAAAGUCCCACUUUGACAUAUAAUUAAGCAGAAGAAUAGAAAAGUGAUACUGAUUGCUUUGCUUUUCUUUCUUUUUAGUUGCAUUGGCUUGAUGACCUUUUCUCCCUUCCUUUUUCAUUGUAUUGGCUGAGUGAUGUAAGCAUAACAUAUUCACUUUUUUGUUAUUGUAUUUAGAUGAUCUUAACAUAUACUGUUCUCCCUUGACUACCUUAACAGUCAGGGAGUGGUAUCAAACCAAGGCUUGUGGUGUCAAGAGAAAUGAACUUAGGACUAUUCUCUUACCCGUGAAGUAAUAACCUCUCUCUCUCUCUCUCUCUCUCUCUCACUCUCUGAAUAUUUAAUUGUGUUGCUAAAGCUCUCUCCACCCACCAUCAAUAUUCAACCAGUGAGACAAUACUCUCAAGUUAAGCUCUUCCUUUAUUUCUCUCUCUCUCUCUCUCUCUCUCUCUCUUUUUUGUGAUUCUCUGAUUGUCAUGAUCAAAUCUCAAAGAGGCAACAAAGUUCUUCAUCAAUUCCUGGCUAACAUCAUCGCUGUUGCUUUACUCAAAUAAGAUUUGAUUUAAAAAUGGUAAUUCCCCCACUAAACAAAACAAGGAAAGAACACUUUUCCUCAUUUCAUGUGAGCCAUUCAAUUGCAUGGCUGGCCACAUGCUCUUCACCAUCCCUUAACUAAUGUCCUUGCAGUUCUUUUUCUAUCAUGCAAUCAAAUCCAAAAGGAAAAAGGUAGGACAGGAGAUUGGCUCAUCCUUGUUCCCUCUUUAUAUUUUGAUGAUGGGCCUAUUAGAAAAUUACUACCACCUUUUUCUUCUUUUCAAUUUUUUCAGGCAGAAGAUUGGAGACCACCAUGCCUAAACUCACCGACUUCUUACUUUACCUGUUGUUUAGUACUUUUUCCUGAUAUACAAAGCAUAUAGUGGCAGAAGAAUGGGACGGGCUCACAGUCAUUACAGAUACUAUGCACAUGUUACUUGUCGAAAAUUAAUUAGCUCAAAAAGGGAGUCAAAUAAUCUAAAAUCUUUAAAUUAUUAUAAAUACUAUGCACAUGUUACUUGUCGAAACUUUAUUGGUUCCUAUGAGUUAAAUAACCUAAAAUCUUUAGGUCAAUCGGUACUCCAAUUGUUUCUACAAAAUAAUUAGACUAGAAAUGUUUUAUUUUUAUUGGAUGAAGCAUGUAUCAUUUGGUCUUUGACAUGUAACAUUAUUAUUAUCCCACCAAUAUGCUAUGACAUUGUGGUAUGUGAAGCAUGCAAGACAAAUAAAUCAUGGGGAAAGUACACCUUGUGGCCAGGCUCAAGUGGGGCAAGGCUUGGGGUUGGGGAGGGUGAAGUUCCAGGUUCAAUUCCAUGUAAGAGCUGAAAAAAACACUCUACAUAUCAAGGAAAAAGAAAGGAAUCAUGAGCAAAGUUCCCUUUUCCAGGAAAGCAACUUCCUACAACAGAAUAUAUAAGAAUGGUUACUCUUUGACUUUGUACAGCACAGAACUUGGUUUCAACAAAUUUCAUUCUUAUUGCUCUGCAAACUCACUGGUUACCUAAGUUUUCUUUAAUUAUUUGACCUCGUUUUCCCUGAUGCCAAACAAACCUAAAAUAUAUACAAUUAUGAUCAGCCCCUUGGUAGUUAUGACGGUCUUGACUAACUCCCUAUUGUUUCAGGUAUUCCAUGGAGCCAAAGAAAAGAUAGGCAUUGCCUUCUUUCCAUCCAUCUUUGUUUUAUUUGUAUGAAAGUGGAGGAAUAUGGGCACCUAUAAAAACAAAAGGUGAGGAAACUUAGAGGGGAAAACCAUUAAAGAAAAAAAAAAGAGUGAGAAAAGACACAGAAAGAUAAGUUUCUUAGUAUAAGAAAGGAUCUUAAAAAAGUUAUUCUCAAUGCUAAAUAUAAUAAAAAAUUUCAAAGCGGGUUCUUAUGCUUAUUGCUUUUAAGAUUUUGAGAUUGCUUUCUUUACUAGCUCUCCGUCAAAUCCUGUUUACUUAAGAUAAGUCAUGCCUACCUACCUUUGUGUACCAUAGAUCACCAUUAUUGCUUAUAUCUUUAGUUCUCCAGCCUUAAUGUAAAAUGCUUCAGCGAUCAUCAUCUAGGCCUUUUGCAGGCCAAAUUUUUCUUUUUAACUGCAAAAGCUAUAAGACUUAUUGAUCUGAUUUCUACACAAUUCAUGCCAUUUGUGUAAGCAUCGAUCAUUAAAGUGAAAGCACCAUAUACUUGCUUCACCCAUAUCUAAUGCAUAUUUGGCAGGGGAUUGACAUCAGUUGAUUGAUCUAGAACACACUGUGAAGGCUAACCUGAUAGAAUGGCAAGAUGGUCAUUACAAAUGGGCAUGUUGCUUUUCUUGUGGUGGGCGAUCAUCGAUUGCCUUACAUGCUACGCUUGAAAAGGGUCAAGGAAAGUAAGUGACAUGAGCGCUUACGAAACUAUGAUUAUAUGCAUGAAAUUGUGACUAAAACAUGACAGCUCUUGUCCCCUUAUAAUGUCUUGUAUUUUAUAGAAGUAAAAAUAAGGCAUUAGGACAAGUGGGAGAUUGAAUUUUGCAAAGAAUCUUUAAUCACAUUGCUUUGGUUUUGCUUUCUUUAUUUGAGAUGGAAGUACAAAAGUUAUUGGAAUCUUAAGAAAACCAGAGCCUCCAUUUCUCUAUAAAAAUCGAGUUGGAGCCCAUUUGCCUUGUACCAUUGGCUCUUUCUGCACAUGGAAAGUUUCAAGUUAUUUUUUUUCCUUUGCCCUUUGAGGUAGUUAGUAUUCCUCUGUGGACAUUCUCUGCUUUGUUUCAGUAUCUGAAAGACUUGGAUUAUUUCUAUUGCCUUUUCAUUGAAUGCAUAUAUACCUCAGAUAUUAGAGUUCAUUUUUAA